Molecule: non-coding RNA, 125 nt
Organism: Brassica napus (rape)
Lineage: Eukaryota; Viridiplantae; Streptophyta; Magnoliopsida; Brassicales; Brassicaceae
Source: Rfam
GGAAUUUAAGAAAUUGUUUCUUAACUUUUAACUAAAAAAACUAAGAACCGGUUUUUAAAUAAGGACUUUAAGAACCGGUUCUUAACUUUUUUAGUUAAAAGCUAAGAAACCGUUUCUUAACUUCC